UACGUAGGGUGCGAGCGUUAAUCGGAAUUACUGGGCGUAAAGCGUGCGCAGGCGGUUCGUUGUGUCGGCGGUGAAAGCCCCGGGCUUAACCUGGGAAGUGGCCGUUGAAACUGGCGAACUGGAGUGUGGCAGAGGGGGUGGAAUUCCGCGUGUAGCAGUGAAAUGCGUAGAGAUGCGGAGGAACACCGAUGGCGAAGGCAAUCCCCUGGGCCUGCACUGACGCUCAUGCACGAAAGCGUGGGGAGCAAACAGG
This 253-nucleotide ribosomal RNA is filed under the name uncultured bacterium. RNAcentral's name for it is "partial 16S ribosomal RNA". It matches the Rfam family "Bacterial small subunit ribosomal RNA", at positions 524 to 776 of the family's 1533-position model. The record is from RNAcentral.